Pimephales promelas (fathead minnow) is the source of this 125-nucleotide non-coding RNA. The record is from RefSeq and is a predicted model, not a curated record. Lineage: Eukaryota; Metazoa; Chordata; Actinopteri; Cypriniformes; Leuciscidae.
CCAGAAACCAUGCUGCAGACAUGAACCCAGAAGGAACCCCGUACGCAUGGCAGCACAGACGCCACUGGUCAAGUCUGAAGAGAGAGAUGGAAACCAUAUGAUUCUCACAUACAGCCAACAGAUAA